This 253-nucleotide ribosomal RNA is filed under the name uncultured bacterium. RNAcentral's name for it is "partial 16S ribosomal RNA". It matches the Rfam family "Bacterial small subunit ribosomal RNA", at positions 524 to 776 of the family's 1533-position model. The record is from RNAcentral.
UACAGAGGUCUCAAGCGUUGUUCGGAUUCAUUGGGCGUAAAGGGUGCGUAGGCGGCGCGGUAAGUCGGGUGUGAAAUCUCGGGGCUUAACUCCGAAACUGCAUUCGAUACUGCCGUGCUUGAGGACUGGAGAGGAGACUGGAAUUUACGGUGUAGCGGUGAAAUGCGUAGAUAUCGUAAGGAACACCGGUGGCGAAGGCGGCAUCCUGGACCAACACUGACGCUGAGGAGCGAAAGCCAGGGGAGCAAACGGG